This is a small nuclear RNA of Salvia hispanica, 105 nucleotides long. The record is from RefSeq and is a predicted model, not a curated record. NCBI's taxonomy places the organism in Eukaryota, Viridiplantae, Streptophyta, Magnoliopsida, Lamiales, Lamiaceae.
AGUCCAUUUGGAAAAAUCUGAUAAAAUUGGAACGAUAUAUAGAGAAGAUAAGCAUGGCACGUUACAAGGACGACACGCAUAAAACGAGAAAUAGAUAAUUUACAU